Molecule: ribosomal RNA, 443 nt
Filed under: uncultured bacterium
Lineage: Bacteria
Description: partial 16S ribosomal RNA
Rfam family: Bacterial small subunit ribosomal RNA
Source: RNAcentral
CCUACGGUGGGCAGCAGUGGGGAAUAUUGGACAAUGGGGGGAACCCUGAUCCAGCGACGCCGCGUGAGUGAAGAAGUCUUUCGGUAUGUAAAGCUCUAUCAGCAGGGAAGAAAGACAUGACGGUACCUGACUACGAAGCACCGGCUAACUACGUGCCAGCAGCCGCGGUAAUACGUAGGGGGCAAGCGUUAUCCGGAUUUACUGGGUGUAAAGGGAGCGUAGACGGCGAUGCAAGUCUGAAGUGAAAGGCGGGGGCCCAACCCCCGGACUGCUUUGGAAACUGUAUGGCUGGAGUGCAGGAGAGGUAAGUGGAAUUCAUGGUGUAGCGGUGAAAUGCGUAGAUAUUAGGAGGAACACCAGGGGCGAAGGCGGCUUACUGGACUGUAACUGACGUUGAGGCUCGAAAGCGUGGGGAGCAAACAGGAUUAGAUACCCGGGUAGUC